Molecule: ribosomal RNA, 338 nt
Filed under: uncultured bacterium
Lineage: Bacteria
Description: bacterial SSU rRNA
Rfam family: Bacterial small subunit ribosomal RNA
Source: RNAcentral
GAUGAACGCUAGCGGCAGGCUUAAUACAUGCAAGUCGUGGGGCAGCAUGAGUAGCAAUACUUGAUGGCGACCGGCAAACGGGUGAGGAACACGUACACAACCUUCCUUCAAGCGGGGAAUAGCCCAGAGAAAUUUGGAUUAAAUACCCCCAUAAAUAUAUUUGAUAAGGCAUCUUAUUAAUAUUAAAGCUUCGGCACUUGAUGAUGGGUGUGCGGCUGAUUAGAUAGUUGGCGGGGUAACGGCCCACCAAGUCUACGAUCAGUAGCUGAUGUGAGAGCAUGAUCAGCCACACGGGCAACUGAGACACGGGGCCCCGACUCCUACGGGAGCAGCAGUAA